Molecule: ribosomal RNA, 510 nt
Filed under: uncultured bacterium
Lineage: Bacteria
Description: partial 16S ribosomal RNA
Rfam family: Bacterial small subunit ribosomal RNA
Source: RNAcentral
GACGAACGCUGGCGGCGUGCCUAACACAUGCAAGUCGAACGAAGAGCGAUGGAAGCUUGCUUCUUUCAAUCUUAGUGGCGUACGGGAGAGUAACGCGUAAUCAACCUGCCCUUCAGAGGGGGACAACAGUUGGCAACGACUGCUCAUACCGCCUACGAUCUAAUCUCGGCAUCGAGGAUAGCUGAAAGGUGGCCUCUACCUGUAAGCUAUCACUGAAGGAGGGGAUUGAGGCUGGUUAGCUAGUUGGAGGGGUAACGGCCCACCAAAGCGAUGAUCAGUAGCCGGGCUGGGGAGGAGGACGACCAAAAUGGGAAUGGGGAAAGGCCCAAGAUCCUAAGGGGGGCAACAGGUGGGAAAUUUCCGCGAAUGGGGGAAAGCUUGCGGAACAACGCCGCGGGGGGGGAAGCAGCCUUCGGGUUGUAAAACUCUGUUAAGCGGGACGAAAGGCCUGCAUGCGAAUAGUGAGAAGGAUUGACGGUACCGGAAGAGUAAGCCACGGCUAACUACGUG